GAUGAACGCUAGCUACAGGCUUAACACAUGCAAGUCGAGGGGAAACGAUAGAGAAAGCUUGCUUUUUCUAGGCGUCGACCGGCGCACGGGUGAGUAACGCGUAUCCAACCUGCCCACCACUUGGGGAUAACCUUGCGAAAGUAAGACUAAUACCCAAUGACGUCUCUAGAAGACAUCUGAAAGAGAUUAAAGAUUUAUCGGUGAUGGAUGGGGAUGCGUCUGAUUAGCUUGUUGGCGGGGUAACGGCCCACCAAGGCGACGAUCAGUAGGGGUUCUGAGAGGAAGGUCCCCCANAUUGGAACUGAGACACGGUCCAAACUCCUACGGGAGGCAGCAGUGAGGAAUAUUGGUCAAUGGACGAGAGUCUGAACCAGCCAAGUAGCGUGCAGGAUGACGGCCCUA
Molecule: ribosomal RNA, 402 nt
Filed under: uncultured bacterium
Lineage: Bacteria
Description: bacterial SSU rRNA
Rfam family: Bacterial small subunit ribosomal RNA
Source: RNAcentral